AGAGUGUCUUAGGUCAUGUCUGGUUGGCAGGCUUCCCAGUAGCAGAAUGGGUGCUGAACAGAUCAGAGCAGAAAGGAGAACAGACCCAGGAUUCACUGCCAUACUCAGUGGCCUUAUAGGCUCUUAGGUUUCCUCUGCUCUCUUCUUUACUAAUGACCCCAGUAAUCAGUCCAUAAGGCUUGCUUUGCCCCCUGUGAAUUCACUGAAAUUGUCACAAUUUUUGGAGGAUAAAUGACCUGGAGCAAUCUUCAUGGUAUCUCAGCCUGAAGUACGCCAUUUGCCAUGAAAUAUAAGCAAGUGCCAAUGAUACCCACAGCUGUGCUGACUAAGGGGUAUUUAUGCUCUUUAAAGCAAUCCAUAUAUAGAAAGAGAUGGGGGGGGGAGGGAAAGAAAUAAGAGGGUUAUUUUGACCAUACAUCAGUCCACUUGAAAUGUUCUGAGGAUUGCAAGCACCUGUCCUUGUGUGCCCAAGGACCUGUCCUAAGGGAUUAACUCCCUCAAUUCUAACUCCCUGGGAGGUCUUAGAGGAAAGGGAGGAACAGAAGGGAUAUAUAUACCUUGUUGCGUGGUUCCAAUCACCUACCAAGCUGCAUGCUUCAGGCAGGUUUGCAGGCGCAGUAGAGUCUGGGAUGUGGACUGAGGCAGAGCAGGCUUCUAGCUCUGCCUCCAGCAAU
This 674-nucleotide long non-coding RNA is filed under the name Mus caroli (Ryukyu mouse). RNAcentral's name for it is "lncRNA (MGP_CAROLIEiJ_G0013723.1)". Lineage: Eukaryota; Metazoa; Chordata; Mammalia; Rodentia; Muridae. The record is from RNAcentral.